Long non-coding RNA from Spinacia oleracea (spinach), 1231 nucleotides. RefSeq lists it as uncharacterized. The record is from RefSeq and is a predicted model, not a curated record. The transcript has 2 exons. Lineage: Eukaryota; Viridiplantae; Streptophyta; Magnoliopsida; Caryophyllales; Amaranthaceae.
CAGUCACACCAUAAUAAGCCUAUGCCUGCUCCCACAGGAAUGCAACCCAUGUAACUGAAUUAUAGCUGACAUGGCAGUUUGUUUCUUGGUUGUUAGUGCAUUGCCCUCUGAUUGGUUGUUAGGCUAAUAUCUUGCUUCUGAUUGGUUAAGCCAGCAAAGCAUAUCUGAUUCUAUAUAAGCUUAUUUACUAUAUUAGUUUCAUAAUUAAUUCCAUCCUAAUAGCUUGUAAUAAAAGCAACUAAGUAAUACAUUCUAUUUUCUCUCCUUAUCCAUUGUUGUUGUUCUACUUUGUGCUUCGUUGUGCAAAUCGUUCAGUUUCAACAUCUUCCCCUAUCUCUUGCAAUCUUAUCAUUUUGCCACCCUUCUAUCCUCCUAAUCGGGGCAUCACAUAUAUUGAUGGAACUAUUAGUCUUUUUCUGAAGGUUUCAGAUAUUGAUGAAAAUGAGGAAGUGUACUUUCCCUACAGAAAAGAGGUAAAAAGAAUGGGACACGGUAAUCUUUUGAACCCGAAAGUUGUAGAUGUUGCUCUAACCGUUAAUCUCAUGAGAUUAGUGUAUGAUGCAUCAUCAUUUAUAGGUGCUCCCCAGUUUUGUGGAUGUAAUGAUACCAUUACUUAUUGAGUUUUCUUACUGCAAAAUGGCAUGAAUAUUGGUCCAAGGCAUAGGAAGAAAUGGGUUCUAGCCUUGAGCAGGUUGAUAAUCAUCAAGAAGUCGAUUGCAAUACUAAUAUUACAACGGUUCCUGGUUUUUGUUGAGGCUUCUGUGGCCAAGCCGAAGAAGGUGUUGACGCAUUUCCAAAACUUAACAGCAUAAGAAAACAACUUAUUUGGUGCUGCAAUUACCAUUUGGCAAAUGUUGCUCCACAUCUCAACAAUCUUUUUCUUUGCACGAAUCAAAGAAUCCUUCAACCGUUCCGAGAGGUUGUCGUAAUAGGCCUUUAGGCUGCAAAAGGCCUGAUCAACUUUCUGGAGUAUAAAUCUGCAGCAGGGAGCUAGAACACCAUAGAUUAGCUUCCAUGUAUAGUUGCUCAAGUCCUUCAAUGCUUUGAUUCCGUACUUUGUAUAAUGUCGGAUUAACUCCCACAGUUUUUCGACAUAUGCUCGAAUGCUUUCCAUUGGGGUUUGAAAGUUAAAUCUUCAGAAUUUGAGAGUUAUUCAGGAUUUCAGGUUGUACUAUUUAUAAUUUAAUUUUAAAGUGUUAGUAAUCUCUAAUUAAUUACUUAAUUAUACUAA